Molecule: long non-coding RNA, 2519 nt
Organism: Apis cerana (Asiatic honeybee)
Lineage: Eukaryota; Metazoa; Arthropoda; Insecta; Hymenoptera; Apidae
Source: RefSeq, a predicted model, not a curated record
UGACAAAAUUGUUUUAAGAAUUUAUAUUAUUCAAUUAUUAUGAUAAUUUCUAUAUAAAUAUCUUUUUACAAUAUAUAUAUAUAUACAUAUAUAUAUAUUAUAAAUGAAUAACAAUAAUGAUUUUGGCUACUUGAUGGUUAUUUAUUUGGAUAUAUAUGUAUUUAUGUAUUUGCAAAUUUAAAGAGCAAAAGAGGGAAAAAAUAAUAAAUAAUAAAAAUAAUGCAGAAAAGAAAGGUACAUUGGAUUUAUUUUCAUUAAUUUUACAUACGUAUUGAUACGUUGACUGUUGGAUUCAACAGCAUUCGUUCGAAAACAUAAUAUAUAUAAAAUAUAUAACUAAUUCAAGAAAUAAAUAAUAAUCAGUCAUAUACUUAUGAUACAUUAAAGUACGAUGUAUUAUGAGUAUUAAGUUUUAUAGCUAUAGUAAUAUAUGGUUAAUAUUAAUUUGUUAACGAAGAAAUAUUCCUAUAAUUUCAUUCAUUUUAAAUAGAAUUUGCAUCAUCUCGAUUAGAAUUGUGCAUUGAAAUUGAAUCGUUGAAAAUAUUCUUGCGCAAAGGAAACAUUGCUUCGUUGAAUCUAUGAGAAGCAUGAUCGAAAAAUAACAGAUUUUUACAUUAAUUUCGAUUACAGGAUAUUCGAUCGAUCAUAAUUUCUUGUAUAACGUUUAAUAAUAUAAUUUAAUACAAUUUUAUCUAUAUAUGUUUUCGUGAAUUCUGAUAAUUAUGUACGAAUGAAGUUAUUUUAAUAACUAGAACGAUGACUAGAAUUUAAUUCAUUAUUUUACUAUCAAAAUAUAAAUUCAAAAAUAUGCGAAUUGGAAAAUAUAUAAAAUAGAAAUAGAAAAUUAAUUUAAAAUAAAUGUAAAUUUAAUCAAAUUAUAAUAUUAAUCAAAAGAUAAAGUAGCUAAAAUUGUUAGAUAUUUUGUAAUAGAUUUUGAAUAAAAAAAAAAUUUUUACGAACGAAUGCAUAAGUAAACAUCUAUGAUGUUAAAAUUCGAGAUAAUCGAAAUCGCGAUCAAUCGAUCAAAUCAAUGUGUUUUAAUCUAAGCUUGUUCAGAACGACGUCGACGACCGGGGCCUCCGGCAUAAUUUGCCGCGGCUAGUCCCAUUAAAUGUUUUGCAGCUUGUGAUCCGCUGAAUCCACGACUCAAACCAAGAUCCAAUCCUCGUUUGUUACUGUAAAAAGGAACUGCGGUCAACGGAGAAAUUUGUAAAACGGAUAAUAGAUAUUUUUAAUGAUUAAGUUAAUUAGAAGAACGUGAUAUGUAUCAAUUUAAUAAUACUUAUGUUACAUUUACUUUUCAAGCUCUGGAUUGCGUAUCAUAGUGUGACCAAGUCGAGUAAUAAUUUCCAUCAAUGCUUCCGGAUCUUCUUCAUCAAAUUGACUCCAGUAUCCUUGUUGACUAUAUGAAAUGAAAAUGAAUAAUCCCUUUUAAACGAGAGCAUAUUCGUGAAAAUCUCGUUACUUAACGUCGUUUCAACUAUCAAAUUUAUAACUUCUUCUUCAUUUAUCAAGCUACGUAUACAUAAUACCAUAAUAGAAUGGAAAGAUAUAACAACAACAUUCUCGUCUCUUUAAUUUUAGAUACACUGGAAUCGUUUUCUCUCAUUAAACGAUGUCUCAUUAAAUGGAACUAGGUUAAAUUUCUGACAUUGCCAGAUGGAUCUUCCGUUCACUUUGUACGUAUAUAUUUUUUCUCGAUUUCUUUGCAAUAUAAUAUGCACAAUAAAACUGAUUCGUGUUUUUAUGUAUAUAUUUAUAUAUUUUUCAUAAUAUAUUAUCUUGGAAUUUCAUCGUAUAUUUUGGAAAAAAUAUUAUAAACAUCGAACAGUUGAUCGGGUUUAUUAAAAAAAAAUCGAAAGAAUCGAUCGAGAUCGGAAAAGACUUACGGUGCAGCAUUCGUCGAAAGAUUGGACGAUACAAAAAGACCCACAACCAUUAAUAGUACAUAGAACGAUAUGAUUCCUUGCUGCAUCCUCGAUGAUUCUUUUAAAUCUGGAAUUCAAAGUAAUAUGAUUUCAUUUUAAAAUUGAUCAUUUAUUAAUUCAUUUUAAAAUUCAUUUUAUUCUGCAUACAUUUAACAUAGUAUGAACUCGAUCGAAAUAAACAUAUAUAUAUUAUUAAUUCGAUAAAAAAUUUAAUAUCUUAUAAUUUUAUUUGAAAUUUUUAACGCAUUGAUACAAAGAAAAAAAAAAGUAUAAAAUAGAAAAAAGGAAUGAAAAAGGAACGAAAGUUGAAAAAAAGGAAAAAAAAAGGCAAUAGCAAUGUUUAUACCACUUUUCUUUUUUCACACUAUCUCAAAAGAAAAGUGGAUGCAUUCAGUGGCUAAAGCUACUAACAAACUAUUCAACCGACAAUCUAGGAAGGAAAGACCGAUCGUGGCCAACUUUUCGAGUAGAUUCCUCCGUUGUAUUGUUUCGAUUCGCAACGAAUGUUACAAUGCGAUACUGUAUAUGCGAGUAAAUAUAUAAAUCGUAUACAAUUGUAAUAUAAUAAAAUAUUUCAUUUGUGAAACAUAA